GACGAACGCUGGCGGCGUGCUUAACACAUGCAAGUCGAACGAUGACGACCGAGCUUGCUCGGUCUGAUUAGUGGCGAACGGGUGAGUAACACGUGAGCAACCUGCCCUUCACUCUGGGAUAACCUCGGGAAAUCGGGGCUAAUACCGGAUAUGAGCUCCUGUCGCAUGGCGGGUGUUGGAAAGUUUUUCGGUGAAGGAUGGGCUCGCGGCCUAUCAGUUUGUUGGUGAGGUAGUGGCUCACCAAGGCGAUGACGGGUAGCCGGCCUGAGAGGGCGACCGGCCACACUGGGACUGAGACACGGCACAGACUCCUACGGGAGGCAGCAGUGGGGAAUAUUGCACAAUGGGCGAAAGCCUGAUGCAGCGACGCCGCGUGAGGGAUGACGGCCUUCGGGUUGUAAACCUCUUUCAGCAGGGAAGAAGCGAAAGUGACGGUACCUGUAGAAGAAGCGCCGGCUAACUACGUG
This 467-nucleotide ribosomal RNA is filed under the name uncultured bacterium. RNAcentral describes it as "partial 16S ribosomal RNA". It matches the Rfam family "Bacterial small subunit ribosomal RNA", at positions 28 to 507 of the family's 1533-position model. The record is from RNAcentral.